UACAGAGGUCUCAAGCGUUGUUCGGAUUCAUUGGGCGUAAAGGGUGCGUAGGCGGCAGGGUAAGUCGGAUGUGAAAUCCCGGGGCUCAACCCCGGAACUGCAUUCGAUACUGCCUUGCUAGAGUACUGGAGAGGAGAUUGGAAUUUACGGUGUAGCAGUGAAAUGCGUAGAUAUCGUAAGGAAGACCAGUGGCGAAGGCGGAUCUCUGGACAGUUACUGACACUGAGGCACGAAGGCCAGGGGAGCAAACGGG
Molecule: ribosomal RNA, 253 nt
Filed under: uncultured bacterium
Lineage: Bacteria
Description: partial 16S ribosomal RNA
Rfam family: Bacterial small subunit ribosomal RNA
Source: RNAcentral